UAAGGAAUAUUGGUCAAUGGACGCAAGUCUGAACCAGCCAUGCCGCGUGAAGGAUGAAGGUCAUCUGGAUUGUAAACUUCUUUUAUCUGGGACGAAAACGGGAUUUUUAUCUCAAUUGACGGUACCAGAGGAAUAAGCACCGGCUAACUCCGUGCCAGCAGCCGCGGUAAUACGGAGGGUGCGAGCGUUAUCCGGAUUUACUGGGUUUAAAGGGUGCGUAGGUGGGCUUAUAAGUCAGUGGUGAAAUCUCCGAGCUUAACUUUGAAACUGCCGUUGAUACUAUAGGUCUUGAAUUAUCUGGAGGUAAGCGGAAUAUGUCAUGUAGCGGUGAAAUGCUUAGAUAUGACAUAGAACACCAAUUGCGAAGGCAGCUUACUACAUAUAAAUUGACGCUGUGGCACGAAAGCGUGGGGA
RNAcentral lists this ribosomal RNA (414 nucleotides) under uncultured bacterium. RNAcentral describes it as "bacterial SSU rRNA". It matches the Rfam family "Bacterial small subunit ribosomal RNA", at positions 355 to 767 of the family's 1533-position model. The record is from RNAcentral.